Molecule: ribosomal RNA, 253 nt
Filed under: uncultured bacterium
Lineage: Bacteria
Description: partial 16S ribosomal RNA
Rfam family: Bacterial small subunit ribosomal RNA
Source: RNAcentral
UACGUAGGCAGCAAGCGUUGUUCGGAGUUACUGGGCGUAAAGGGUGCGUAGGCGGCUUUUUAAGUUUGGUGUGAAAUCUCCCGGCUCAACUGGGAGGGUGCGCCGAAUACUGAGAGGCUAGAGUGCGGGAGAGGAAAGUGGAAUUCCUGGUGUAGCGGUGAAAUGCGUAGAUAUCAGGAGGAACACCGGUGGGGUAAACGGCUUUCUGGACCGUAACUGACGCUGAGACACGAAAGCGUGGGUAGCAAACAGG